Molecule: non-coding RNA, 885 nt
Organism: Schizosaccharomyces pombe (fission yeast)
Lineage: Eukaryota; Fungi; Ascomycota; Schizosaccharomycetes; Schizosaccharomycetales; Schizosaccharomycetaceae
Source: the annotation of a GenBank genome assembly
UUCAUCUUUAUCCGGCCUAAUUUCAUUAACCCUUUCGAACAACGCAGCAAGAGCUUGGCCCGCUGCUAACUGAACAUCAAUACUAGCUGCAUCUAGUUGCUCAGAAAGAGCCUCAGCCGCCGAAGCUAAAAAUUCACUUUCAGUUGUGACGCAAGUUAAAAGCAAACCUAGAGCUUGGCAUGCACACCCAACCACACCUUCAUCAUCUUCAGAAUUCACAACAGCACCAUCAGACUCUAAAAUGCUGAUUAAAAAGUCUCCAAAUUCAAUUACAUCUGCUUCGGAGUCUAAAAGAGCUGUCAAUAAAGAGAAACAAAGUAUGGAUUCACACUUGAUGCCAGAAGAUUCUGCAUCAUUUGCCAAUGCGUUAAAUCUUCCUUCUGUCUUCGUCCACAGCUCUUCCACUUGAAAAACAGAAGCCAGACAAAAAGUACACAUGAUCCGAAUUGUCAAAAUCAAUUCUUUGUCAGAACGAGGUCCGUUGAAAAUUUUUAAAAGUAAUUCUUCCAAAGAUGCUACAUUUUCGGAAAUCCUUUUAGCGUAAUGUCGUGUGCAUAUUACAUAUAUCUUCUCUAGAUGUUCUUCUCGUUCUUUGGCGCCAAUUUUUUUUACUUCUAUCAAGUCAUCAAUAGUGGACUCCAAUUCUUCAAGCCAAGUUUUUGAACCUUUAAGAAUACCUGAAUCCUCCAUAGAACCAACACUUAACUGAUCCAUGGAGCCACUAAGUAUGCUGAUAGUGUCAAAAGAGUCAUCGUCAGACAUUAACUGCCUUUUACCAUCUUUUUUGCCCAUGAUGCCUAUUAAAGGAGGUGAAUAGGUUAAUUUCAAAUUUUAGGCGGCUGAUAUCACGUAUAUACCUAAACCGCGAGGGUAACGGAUUACCAU